RNAcentral lists this ribosomal RNA (467 nucleotides) under uncultured bacterium. RNAcentral describes it as "partial 16S ribosomal RNA". It matches the Rfam family "Bacterial small subunit ribosomal RNA", at positions 28 to 506 of the family's 1533-position model. The record is from RNAcentral.
GACGAACGCUGGCGGCGUGCUUAGCACAUGCAAGUCGAACGGAAAGGCCCUGCUUUUGUGGGGUGCUCGAGUGGCGAACGGGUGAGUAACACGUGAGUAACCUGCCCUUGACUUUGGGAUAACUUCAGGAAACUGGGGCUAAUACCGGAUAGGAGCUCCUGCUGCAUGGUGGGGGUUGGAAAGUUUCGGCGGUUGGGGAUGGACUCGCGGCUUAUCAGCUUGUUGGUGGGGUAGUGGCUUACCAAGGCUUUGACGGGUAGCCGGCCUGAGAGGGUGACCGGCCACAUUGGGACUGAGAUACGGCCCAGACUCCUACGGGAGGCAGCAGUGGGGAAUAUUACACAAUGGGCGGAAGCCUGAUGCAGCAACGCCGCGUGCGGGAUGACGGCCUUCGGGUUGUAAACCGCUUUCGCCUGUGACGAAGCGUGAGUGACGGUAAUGGGUAAAGAAGCACCGGCUAACUACGU